ACGGGAGGCAGCAGUGAGGAAUAUUGGUCAAUGGAGGCAACUCUGAACCAGCCAUCUCGCGUGAAGGAAUACGGCCCUACGGGUCUUAAACUUCUUUUAUAGGGGGAUAAAGUGAGAUAUGUAUAUCUUUUUGUAGGUACCCUAUGAAUAAGCAUCGGCUAACUCCGUGCCAGCAGCCGCGGUAAUACGGAGGAUGCGAGCGUUAUCCGGAUUUAUUGGGUUUAAAGGGUGCGUAGGCGGACUGUUAAGUCAGUGGUGAAAGGUCCCGGCUCAACCGGGGAGCUGCCAUUGAUACUGGCUGUCUGGAAUGCGGAUGCCGUGGGAGGAAUGUGUAGUGUAGCGGUGAAAUGCAUAGAUAUUACACAGAACACCGAUUGCGAAGGCAUCUCACGAAUCCGUUAUUGACGCUGAGGCACGAAAGCGUGGGGAUCAAACAGGAUUAGAUACCCUGGUA
Molecule: ribosomal RNA, 454 nt
Filed under: uncultured bacterium
Lineage: Bacteria
Description: partial 16S ribosomal RNA
Rfam family: Bacterial small subunit ribosomal RNA
Source: RNAcentral